AGCGGAGAGGAGCAGAAUUAGCAUCUUGCGAUUAUUAUAGAAGAGAUGAAACACUACAUAUGUCAUCAAUCUUUUUAUCCGGCAAUUGAAACCCCAUCCACAAGAUAUGGAGGAGCUUGCGAGAGUGAUCCGGCUAAAUCAAGAUUCGAUCGACUUUCCGGUAUGGACUCCCUCGACUCGUGGGCUCCACUGCAUUCGACGCGUCCUAUGACGUGGACAUAUUUCCGGAGUCUUCCUUCAUGCUGACGCCAGCGGCGGAUGCACCUGAAGAUGAUUUGAACUACGGGGAAAUGAUACCGAGGGUGUUGGUUUGGGUUCGAAUGUAUAGGUGCCGAAACCGCAUCUCCCUCUCACCGUUGUUGUCUGAUGAGCCGUCUCCUUCUCUCUUCCAAAUCGAACCAACACCUCAAUUUUGCCUGCACUUUGACUCAUCCCAUCGCCGUUCCCAACAGAAACCCUUCGCCUCGCCCACCCUCGUCCCUCCUCCCACUCACCUUCCAUUCUUCCCAAGAACACUUGGAGGAGGAGGAAGAGGAGGCGAAGUAGCCCGAUUCCAUUCUGUGAACCCCAUUGUGAUUAGGGCUUUCGAUGGGGUCGUUUCAUCCUUUGCCCUAGUUUGCUGUUCCCGUCAAUCUGGUCUUCUUGUUAAUAUCAAUCGUGGCGUGGUGGAAUAGGGCGAGGAGCUGCAGGGUUUAGAGCAUGGCGGAGGCGGCGAAGCUCCGGCGGCCGUUGGUUCCUUGCGUCCGAGACUUCCCUAAAGGGUGCGGCCCUCACGCGGUGGUAGUUGGAUGGAAGCCGAAGGAGGCCCUGCCGCCUCUUCCGCCGCCCCCACCUGCUCCGGAAUCCAAGGAACUUGCCGCCUGUAACGAGGUCGCCGAGCCUGGCGUUUGUGGGCCUCCUGAGGGGGCCCCGGCCGACAUAGAGGGGAAGCCUUGCUUGACGGUCGGUACUAUGAAACCUCACGUUGUGGAUUCUUCGACGAUGGGUUCGGGAAAUGUUGCAGCCGUUAAAGUGGAGCAAGAAGAGGAACUGGACCAGGGCAUGGAGGAGUCUUCUAUUCACAACCGUGAAGUAGAGCUGCCGUUGCCGUUGUUUUUGGAGAAUGGACUCGAACAGUCCAAAGCAUCAGUUGUAUCUAGAACGGAUGAAACACUGAAUGCGGACGGUGAUCUGGUAAAGCAAUGUUCACCGAAGAUGUACCCUCCUUCGUCAAGGAAAGCUGUCUCAGCUGUUCGGGAUUAUCCAAUCGGUUGCGGAGUAAAUGCUCCUCGUAUGAGCAGGGAGGAGGCCUUAAAACUUGCAGCGAAUGCUUCAUCAAAGAGCAAGAGUCCGAUAGAGGAGAAGAUGCCUGCUGUGGAUCAACAAACAGUGGCCCCAAAAGAUUUUGCUACUGUUGAAGUUCCUGCUGACAAUAAGGUUGCCAAGGGGAUGGAGGAAAGGACUGAGAUCAAGAAGAUUGAAGAAGAAACUCUCCUGGUAGAAGCUAAGGUUUUGAAGUCUCCCCUUCCCUCUCCCAAGAUCAAGAGUUUGGAAGCAGAAAAGCAGUCUCUUUCUGGAGAAAAUAGGGAGAAGAAAUUACCUAUUAGAGCAGCUCCUGAUGAAAGGUUGGGUGUGCAGGCAAUCAAACAACUUAACAGGGAUGCUCAAAGGAGCAUGACACCUGAUCUUGAUAAAGUAGCUGCAAGGGGGGAGAGACUUUCAUUGGGGAAAUCAACUGAUAAAAUGGUGACGAAAUAUCAAAAGGUUAGUAAAAGUACCAAGAGAAAGUUCUUAGAUGCAACUGUGGAUGAAAAUGAUGCUAGGAUUGACCACAAUCUGGAUGUUGAGAAGCUGGAAGCUCAUGGCGAAAGGCUGAUCAUUCAAGCUCUCAUGGCUGCUCCCAGAUGUCCAUGGAAGCAGGGUUUCAAGUCAGGUAAUUCUGGUUCUCGCUCUGUUGCGAUGCCAAAACACAAAGUGAAGAGGGAACAAACUACGUUGAACAUGCAACUUGCCUUGAAAGAAGUGGAGGAUGAGGAUACUGUGUCUGGUAAUUCUAGUUCUCAUUCUGUUGUGGUGCAUAAACGUAAGGCGAAGAGGGAACGAACCAAGUUGAAUAUGCAACUAGCCUUGAGGGACGUGGAGGAUGAGGAUAUUCUGUCUCACGGUGAAGAAAAUGAAAGAGCAGUUACAGUUUACCAAGGAUCCUAUGAGCAGAGUGUCAUAGACGCUCCACCCCUUUCAGUUUUUGAUGGAUCAGGAGAAUUGUCCGUCAACAUCCCUCCGAUUGUUCCUUCUGGAUGGAAUUAUAGUGGUGCUGAUAGUCAAGACAUAUUGGUUCGUCAUAAGGUUAGAAGAGCGCUGCGGCUCUUUCAAGUGGUUUGCAGGAAACUAUUGCAAACUGAGGAGGCAAAAUCAAAGGGGUUAGGCAAGACAAAGAGGGUUGACCUGACUGCAGCUGAUAUCCUUAAACAAAAAGGUGAAUGGGUUAACACUGGUAAGCAGAUCAUAGGUAUUGUUCCUGGCGUUGAAGUUGGAGAUGAAUUUCAUUUCAGGGUGGAGCUCUCCAUUGUUGGUCUUCAUCGCCCAUUUCAAGGAGGCAUAGAUGCCCUAAAGAAAAAUGGUAUAUACGUUGCAACAAGUAUUGUGGCUUCUGGGGGAUAUAAUGAUGAUAUGGAUAGCUCAGAUGUCUUGAUAUACUCUGGUUCUGGAGGAAAUCCUGCCGGUACAGAUAAGCCACCAGAAGACCAAAAGCUUCAGCGUGGAAAUCUGGCACUGAAGAACAGUAUUGACACAAAGACUCCUGUUCGAGUUAUUCAUGGAAUUAAGGAGAUGAAAGGAGGAAGUUCCCACGAUGGAAGGUCCAAACUAGUCUCAACGUUAACUUAUGCUGGUUUGUAUUUGGUUGAGAAGUACUGGCAGGAGAAAGGGCCUCAUGGCUUCUUUGUUUAUAAGUUCCAGUUAAGAAGAAUGCCAGGACAACCAGAACUUGCUCUUCAAGAAGUCAGAAAAACAAAGAGGUCAAAAGUACGAGAAGGUUUGUGCGUGAAGGAUAUAUCAGAUGGGCAGGAGAAGAUACCAAUUUGUGUAAUCAACACAGUAAAUGAUGAGCACCCUCCUCCCUUCAAGUACAUAACAGAGAUCAAAUAUCCUUCAUGGUAUGUGAAGAAUCCUCCAGAAGGUUGUGAUUGCGUGAAUGGCUGCUCCGAUUCAGGGAGGUGUGCAUGUGCUGUGAAGAAUGGAGGUGAAAUUCCAUUCAACUUUAAUGGUGCUAUUGUGCAAGCAAAACCUCUUCUGUAUGAGUGUGGCCCGUCCUGCAAGUGUCCCUCAUCAUGCCACAACAGGGUUAGCCAGCAUGGAAUCCAAAUACCACUAGAAAUUUUCAGGACAAAAACAAGGGGCUGGGGGGUGAGAUCAUUAUAUUCCAUUCCGUCAGGAAGUUUUAUAUGCGAGUACAUCGGGGAGCUGCUUCAGGAUAAAGAAGCUGAAAAGAGGAGUAACGAUGAGUAUCUUUUUGAUAUUGGUCAUAACUAUGAUGAUCACUCUCUCUGGGAGGGACUUCCUUCUCUUAUUCCAGGCUUGAAGACUAGUUCCCAGCGUGAAACUGUGGACGAUGUGGGUUUCACCAUUGAUGCAGCUGAGUAUGGGAAUGUGGGAAGAUUUAUUAAUCAUAGCUGUUCACCUAACCUCUAUGCACAAAAUGUUCUUUACGAUCAUGACGACAAGAGAGUACCACACAUAAUGCUUUUUGCUGCUGAAAAUAUUCCUCCAUUACAAGAACUGACAUAUCACUAUAACUAUUCGUUAGAUCAGGUCCGUGAUGCAGAUGGUAACAUAAAACAGAAAGACUGCUAUUGUGGGUCUCCUGAAUGCACUGGAAGACUUUAUUGAGAUUGCCUUUUAUCAAUUGAGUUCAGUCCUAGACAUGUUGUUGUGGUUGGCAUCUUUUUGUCAUCUUUUUGCUCAUGACAAGUUUGUCACUGCCACUGAUCAUAUGGGCCAACUGAAUAUUGAGAUGACUAUAUUUGUCAUGUAAUCUGGUGGUUCUGGUAUCAUAUGAAAUCCAGCAAAGGUGCAACAGAGUUUUUUUUUUUUCGAGGUGACUAUGACAGUGAACCACCUCAGCUGCACAUCACUAAAGUUGCUCCAUCGUGACAUAGGCAUCAACGGUCCAAAUCAUGUGAACAGCUUGUCUACAUGCAAAGAUAAGACCAUGUACAUAUGAAGCCCCUAGAUUCUGCAGAAGCUUUUGGAACUGGACUGAUCAUUUGUGGCGUUGAACCUUGACACCAUAUGGAAUAGAGAGCUGUACUGCAGACACUUCAUUUUGAAUUACAACUUUCAAGUCUUCUUCUCUUGGGAGAACAAACAUAUGCCUGAUGCGACCCAGAAGCAUAACCAAGGUUGGUAUGUUACACCAAUUAUAUGAACUUGGAUUUACGCUGUUGUGCAUUUUGGGGCUUUGUUGAGCAGCUUUUUACUACUUCACACUUGGUACCUGUUGCCAUUUUUGUGUUGCUCAAAACUAUUGCAAGGAGCUUCAUAUUAUCUGUAUCUCUAUGUGUGUCUUCCUCCUGCUCUUGAUAAUGAGUAAUGUUCAUGCUGUUUUCAGUUCAGUUUA
RNA transcript from Musa acuminata AAA Group (dessert banana), 4597 nucleotides. It is a transcript of the gene named histone-lysine N-methyltransferase, H3 lysine-9 specific SUVH4-like, with no coding region annotated. The record is from RefSeq and is a predicted model, not a curated record. NCBI's taxonomy places the organism in Eukaryota, Viridiplantae, Streptophyta, Magnoliopsida, Zingiberales, Musaceae. The transcript has 3 exons.